GCGGAUGUAGUUCAAUGGUAGAACAUUAGGUUGCCAAUCUAAAUACGAGGGUCCGAUUCCCUUCAUCCGCACCA
RNAcentral lists this transfer RNA (74 nucleotides) under Metamycoplasma arthritidis. RNAcentral describes it as "Mycoplasma arthritidis tRNA-Gly(gcc)". It matches the Rfam family "tRNA". From Rfam's summary of the family: Transfer RNA (tRNA) molecules are approximately 80 nucleotides in length. Their secondary structure includes four short double-helical elements and three loops (D, anti-codon, and T loops). RNAcentral also lists the same sequence under 1 other name. Lineage: Bacteria; Bacillati; Mycoplasmatota; Mycoplasmoidales; Metamycoplasmataceae. The record is from RNAcentral.